RNAcentral lists this ribosomal RNA (624 nucleotides) under uncultured bacterium. Its description in RNAcentral is "bacterial SSU rRNA". It matches the Rfam family "Bacterial small subunit ribosomal RNA", at positions 132 to 772 of the family's 1533-position model. The record is from RNAcentral.
CAAAGAGGGGGACAACAGUUGGAAACGACUGCUAAUACCGCAUAAGCCCACGGCUCGGCAUCGAGCAGAGGGAAAAGGAGUGAUCCGCUUUGAGAUGGCCUCGCGUCCGAUUAGCUGGUUGGUGAGGUAACGGCCCACCAAGGCGACGAUCGGUAGCCGGACUGAGAGGUUGAACGGCCACAUUGGGACUGAGACACGGCCCAGACUCCUACGGGAGGCAGCAGUGGGGAAUAUUGCACAAUGGGGGAAACCCUGAUGCAGCGACGCCGCGUGGAGGAAGAAGGUCUUCGGAUCGUAAACUCCUGUUGUUGAGGAAGAUAAUGACGGUACUCAACAAGGAAGUGACGGCUAACUACGUGCCAGCAGCCGCGGUAAAACGUAGGUCACAAGCGUUGUCCGGAAUUACUGGGUGUAAGGGGAGCGCAGGCGGGAGAACAAGUUGGAAGUGAAAUCCAUGGGCUCAACCCAUGAACUGCUUUCAAAACUGUUUUUCUUGAGUAGUGCAGAGGUAGGCGGAAUUCCCGGUGUAGCGGUGGAAUGCGUAGAUAUCGGGAGGAACACCAGUGGCGAAGGCGGCCUACUGGGCACCAACUGACGCUGAGGCUCGAAAGUGUGGGUAGCAAA